Molecule: ribosomal RNA, 305 nt
Filed under: uncultured bacterium
Lineage: Bacteria
Description: bacterial SSU rRNA
Rfam family: Bacterial small subunit ribosomal RNA
Source: RNAcentral
UUGACCUACGGGGGGCAGCAGUGAGGAAUAUUGGUCAAUGGGAGAGAUCCUGAACCAGCCAAGCCGCGUGAGGGAAGACGGCCUUCGGGUUGUAAAAUUCUGUUAUAAGGGAAGAAAGGUGAUAGGAGGAAAUGACUAUCAAUUGACGGUACCUUAUGAGAAAGCCACGGCUAACUACGUGCCAGCAGCCGCGGUAAUACGUAGGUGGCAAGCGUUAUCCGGAAUUAUUGGGCGUAAAGAGCGCGCAGGUGGUUAAUUAAGUCUGAUGUGAAAGCCCACGGCUUAACCGUGGAGGGUCAUUGGAA